RNAcentral lists this ribosomal RNA (819 nucleotides) under Triticum aestivum (bread wheat). RNAcentral's name for it is "partial small subunit ribosomal RNA". The record is from RNAcentral. Lineage: Eukaryota; Viridiplantae; Streptophyta; Magnoliopsida; Poales; Poaceae.
AUGGAGGCGUGGGAGAUCGCCCAUACACGAAAGAAGCCCAAGCCUGGCGAGGCCAAGUACUACGGCAAGACCGCGGAGUAUAAGAAGGCCUACUCUGAGGGGUAUCUGAGUUUACAUCCUGACACACCUGACCCCAUUGCGACGGAUCUGGACGAGAGGGUGGUGGUGAGCAUGGGGAAGAAGCACGGUCGGUCGCCGUUUCUGGAUGCUGUGAUCACUCCUUCUAUCUCCUACACACAGCUCCGAGCUACCAACCCGAGCCUGUGCCAGCGCACGAGCACGUCCAUGACCAGUGCGCAGUCACAGUCCCUCAUUGCUGAGCGGAACUCUGCCUACUUGGAGUACACACGCCAGGAGACCAUGACGUGGCACGAGAGCCUUCAUGCAUACCAUCAGCAGAGGGAUCGCACGUUGCAACACUUCCUUGAGGAAAUGGCGGCCGGCAGGGUUCCUCAAUUGCAACCAGCACCAUCUCCUCCACCACAACCAGUGCUUCUUACUUUUGAGGAGUUUCUGACACAGAACCCUGGCCCCUCGCCGGUUAGUACAUCUCAAACUAUUCACCCAAAGCAUACUGUUUAUUCAACACAAUCAUAUAUCCCCUUAACAUGUCUUUUUAACAUCCAGGGAACUGGUGGAUCUACCGUUGGUGGUGGUGCUGGUCUUGGCAUCACUCCCGAGUCAUGGAGCCCGGUCACUCCUAUCCACGGAGGCGGCGGCGGUCUUGGCGGUAGCGCUGCCGCUAGCAGUGAUGACCUAGGCUUCAGCGGACUUGGCGGUGAUGACCUUGGCGGUGGUGGUGGAUGUCCUAGCGCUUAA